AAAUGACUCUCGGCAACGGAUAUCUCGGCUCUCGCAUCGAUGAAGAACGUAGCGAAAUGCGAUACUUGGUGUGAAUUGCAGAAUCCCGUGAACCAUCGAGUCUUUGAACGCAAGUUGCGCCCGAAGCCGUCAGGCCGAGGGCACGUCUGCCUGGGUGUCACGC
RNAcentral lists this ribosomal RNA (163 nucleotides) under Piptadenia floribunda. RNAcentral describes it as "5.8S ribosomal RNA". It matches the Rfam family "5.8S ribosomal RNA". From Rfam's summary of the family: 5.8S ribosomal RNA (5.8S rRNA) is a component of the large subunit of the eukaryotic ribosome. It is transcribed by RNA polymerase I as part of the 45S precursor that also contains 18S and 28S rRNA. Lineage: Eukaryota; Viridiplantae; Streptophyta; Magnoliopsida; Fabales; Fabaceae. The record is from RNAcentral.